GAUGAACGCUGGCGGCGUGCCUAAUACAUGCAAGUCGAGCGAACAGAUAAGGAGCUUGCUCCUUUGACGUUAGCGGCGGACGGGUGAGUAACACGUGGGUAACCUACCUAUAAGACUGGGAUAACUUCGGGAAACCGGAGCUAAUACCGGAUAACAUUUGGAACCGCAUGGUUCUAUAGUGAAAGAUGGUUUUGCUAUCACUUAUAGAUGGACCCGCGCCGUAUUAGCUAGUUGGUAAGGUAACGGCUUACCAAGGCGACGAUACGUAGCCGACCUGAGAGGGUGAUCGGCCACACUGGAACUGAGACACGGUCCAGACUCCUACGGGAGGCAGCAGUAGGGAAUCUUCCGCAAUAGGCGAAAGCCUGACGGAGCAACGCCGCGUGAGUGAUGAAGGGUUUCGGAUCGUAAAACUCUGUUAUUAGGGAAGAACAAAUGUGUAAGUAACUGUGCACGUCUUGACGGUACCUAAUCAGAAAGCCACGGCUAACUACGUG
RNAcentral lists this ribosomal RNA (497 nucleotides) under uncultured bacterium. Its description in RNAcentral is "partial 16S ribosomal RNA". It matches the Rfam family "Bacterial small subunit ribosomal RNA", at positions 28 to 507 of the family's 1533-position model. The record is from RNAcentral.